UCCGACUUAACGUCGGCAGUCCCUUUAGAGUGCCCAACUAAAUGCUGGCAACUAAAGGCAGGGUUGCGCUCGUUGCGGGACUUAACCCAACAUCUCACGACACGAGCUGACGACAGCCAUGCAGCACCUGUGUAUCGGCCCUUGCGGGCGGGGACAUCUCUGCCACCCUUCCAAUACAUGUCAAGCCCAGGUAAGGUUCUGCGCGUUGCAUCGAAUUAAACCACAUACUCCACCGCUUGUGCGGGCCCCCGUCAAUUUCUUUGAGUUUUAAUCUUGCGACCGUACUCCCCAGGCGGGAUACUUAACGCGUUAGCUUCGUCACUGAAGGGGUCAAUACCUCCAACAACAAGUAUCCAUCGUUUAUGGCGUGGACUAC
This 376-nucleotide unclassified non-coding RNA is filed under the name uncultured Pseudobdellovibrionaceae bacterium. RNAcentral describes it as "uncultured Bdellovibrionaceae bacterium contains 16S-23S intergenic spacer region". Lineage: Bacteria; Pseudomonadati; Bdellovibrionota; Bdellovibrionia; Bdellovibrionales; Pseudobdellovibrionaceae. The record is from RNAcentral.